This 651-nucleotide ribosomal RNA is filed under the name uncultured bacterium. RNAcentral's name for it is "bacterial SSU rRNA". It matches the Rfam family "Bacterial small subunit ribosomal RNA", at positions 202 to 856 of the family's 1533-position model. The record is from RNAcentral.
UAAAGAUUUAUCGGUGAUGGAUGGGGAUGCGUCUGAUUAGCUUGUUGGCGGGGUAACGGCCCACCAAGGCGACGAUCAGUAGGGGUUCUGAGAGGAAGGUCCCCCACAUUGGAACUGAGACACGGUCCAAACUCCUACGGGAGGCAGCAGUGAGGAAUAUUGGUCAAUGGACGAGAGUCUGAACCAGCCAAGUAGCGUGCAGGAUGACGGCCCUAUGGGUUGUAAACUGCUUUUAUAAGGGAAUAAAGUUAGUCUCGUGAGACUUUUUGCAUGUACCUUAUGAAUAAGGACCGGCUAAUUCCGUGCCAGCAGCCGCGGUAAUACGGAAGGUCCGGGCGUUAUCCGGAUUUAUUGGGUUUAAAGGGAGCGUAGGCCGGAGAUUAAGCGUGUUGUGAAAUGUAGACGCUCAACGUCUGCACUGCAGCGCGAACUGGUUUCCUUGAGUACGCACAAAGUGGGCGGAAUUCGUGGUGUAGCGGUGAAAUGCUUAGAUAUCACGAAGAACUCCGAUUGCGAAGGCAGCUCACUGGAGCGCAACUGACGCUGAAGCUCGAAAGUGCGGGUAUCGAACAGGAUUAGAUACCCUGGUAGUCCGCACGGUAAACGAUGGAUGCCCGCUGUUGGUCUGAAUAGGUCAGCGGCCAAGCGAAA